This 467-nucleotide ribosomal RNA is filed under the name uncultured bacterium. RNAcentral describes it as "partial 16S ribosomal RNA". It matches the Rfam family "Bacterial small subunit ribosomal RNA", at positions 29 to 507 of the family's 1533-position model. The record is from RNAcentral.
ACGAACGCUGGCGGCGUGCUUCACACAUGCAAGUCGAACGGAAAGGCCCUGCUUUUGUGGGGUGCUCGAGUGGCGAACGGGUGAGUAACACGUGAGUAACCUGCCCUUGACUUUGGGAUAACUUCAGGAAACUGGGGCUAAUACCGGAUAGGAGCUCCUGCUGCAUGGUGGGGGUUGGAAAGUUUCGGCGGUUGGGGAUGGACUCGCGGCUUAUCAGCUUGUUGGUGGGGUAGUGGCUUACCAAGGCUUUGACGGGUAGCCGGCCUGAGAGGGUGACCGGCCACAUUGGGACUGAGAUACGGCCCAGACUCCUACGGGAGGCAGCAGUGGGGAAUAUUGCACAAUGGGCGGAAGCCUGAUGCAGCAACGCCGCGUGCGGGAUGACGGCCUUCGGGUUGUAAACCGCUUUCGCCUGUGGCGAAGCGUGAGUGACGGUAAUGGGUAAAGAAGCACCGGCUAACUACGUG